CCCUUAGAUGUCCUGGGCCGCACGCGCGCUACACUGAUGCAUUCAACGAGUUUUUCCUUGGCCGAGAGGCCUGGGCAAUCUUUUGAACGUGCAUCGUGAUAGGGAUAGAUUAUUGCAAUUAUUAAUCUUGAACGAGGAAUUCCUAGUAAACGCAGAUCAUCAAUCUGCAUUGAUUACGUCCCUGCCCUUUGUACACACCGCCCGUCGCACCUACCGAUUGAAUGGUCCGGUGAAGCCUCGGGAUUGUGGCGAGUUCCCUUUAUUGGGAGUUUGUCGCGAGAACUUGUCUAAACCUUAUCAUUUAGAGGAAAGUGAAGUCGUAACA
RNAcentral lists this ribosomal RNA (325 nucleotides) under uncultured eukaryote. RNAcentral describes it as "partial 18S ribosomal RNA". It matches the Rfam family "Eukaryotic small subunit ribosomal RNA", at positions 1470 to 1796 of the family's 1831-position model. The record is from RNAcentral.